RNAcentral lists this ribosomal RNA (468 nucleotides) under uncultured bacterium. RNAcentral's name for it is "partial 16S ribosomal RNA". It matches the Rfam family "Bacterial small subunit ribosomal RNA", at positions 28 to 507 of the family's 1533-position model. The record is from RNAcentral.
GACGAACGCUGGCGGCGUGCUUAACACAUGCAAGUCGAACGGAAAGGCCCUGCUUUUGUGGGGUGCUCGAGUGGCGAACGGGUGAGUAACACGUGAGUAACCUGCCCUUGACUUUGGGAUAACUUCAGGAAACUGGGGCUAAUACCGGAUAGGAGCUCCUGCUGCAUGGUGGGGGUUGGAAAGUUUCGGCGGUUGGGGAUGGACUCGCGGCUUAUCAGCUUGUUGGUGGGGUAGUGGCUUACCAAGGCUUUGACGGGUAGCCGGCCUGAGAGGGUGACCGGCCACAUUGGGACUGAGAUACGGACCAGACUCCUACGGGAGGCAGCAGUGGGGAAUAUUGCACAAUGGGCGGAAGCCUGAUGCAGCAACGCCGCGUGCGGGAUGACGGCCUUCGGGUUGUAAACCGCUUUCGCCUGUGACGAAGCGUGGGUGACGGUAAUGGGUAAAGAAGCACCGGCUAACUACGUG